Molecule: transfer RNA, 87 nt
Filed under: Hasllibacter halocynthiae
Lineage: Bacteria; Pseudomonadati; Pseudomonadota; Alphaproteobacteria; Rhodobacterales; Roseobacteraceae
Description: bacterium KME 002 tRNA
Rfam family: tRNA
About the family: Transfer RNA (tRNA) molecules are approximately 80 nucleotides in length. Their secondary structure includes four short double-helical elements and three loops (D, anti-codon, and T loops). Further hydrogen bonds mediate the characteristic L-shaped molecular structure. tRNAs have two regions of fundamental functional importance: the anti-codon, which is responsible for specific mRNA codon recognition, and the 3' end, to which the tRNAs corresponding amino acid is attached (by aminoacyl-tRNA synthetases). tRNAs cope with the degeneracy of the genetic code in two manners: having more than one tRNA (with a specific anti-codon) for a particular amino acid; and 'wobble' base-pairing, i.e. permitting non-standard base-pairing at the 3rd anti-codon position.
Source: Rfam by way of RNAcentral
GGAAGCGUGGCCGAGCGGUCGAAGGCAGCGGUCUUGAAAACCGCCGGGCGGGCAACCGUCCCGUGGGUUCGAAUCCCACCGCUUCCG